This 468-nucleotide ribosomal RNA is filed under the name uncultured bacterium. RNAcentral's name for it is "partial 16S ribosomal RNA". It matches the Rfam family "Bacterial small subunit ribosomal RNA", at positions 28 to 507 of the family's 1533-position model. The record is from RNAcentral.
GACGAACGCUGGCGGCGUGCUUAACACAUGCAAGUCGAACGGAAAGGCCCUGCUUUUGUGGGGUGCUCGAGUGGCGAACGGGUGAGUAACACGUGAGUAACCUGCCCUUGACUUUGGGAUAACUUCAGGAAACUGGGGCUAAUACCGGAUAGGAGCUCCUGCAGCAUGGUGGGGGUUGGAAAGUUUCGGCGGUAGGGGAUGGACUCGCGGCUUAUCAGCUUGUUGGUGGGGGAGUGGCUUACCCAGGCUUUGACGGGUAGCCGGCCUGAGAGGGUGACCGGCCACAUUGGGACUGAGAUACGGCCCAGACUCCUACGUGAGGCAGCAGUGGGGAAUAUUGUACAAUGGGCGCGAGCCUGAUGCAGCAACGCCGCGUGCGUGAUGACGGCCUUCGGGUUGUAAACCGCUUUCGCCUGUGACGAAGCGUUAGUGACGGUAAUGGGUAAAGAAGCACCGGCUAACUACGUG